UACGAAGGGGCUAGCGUUGCUCGGAAUCACUGGGCGUAAAGGGUGCGUAGGCGGGUCUUUAAGUCAGGGUGAAAUCCUGGAGCUCAACUCCAGAACUGCCUUUGAUACUGAAGAUCUUGAGUUCGGGAGAGGUGAGUGGAACUGCGAGUGUAGAGGUGAAAUUCGUAGAUAUUCGCAAGAACACCAGUGGCGAAGGCGGCUCACUGGCCCGAUACUGACGCUGAGGCACGAAAAGCGUGGGG
This 242-nucleotide ribosomal RNA is filed under the name uncultured bacterium. Its description in RNAcentral is "partial 16S ribosomal RNA". It matches the Rfam family "Bacterial small subunit ribosomal RNA", at positions 524 to 766 of the family's 1533-position model. The record is from RNAcentral.